GAUGAACGCUGGCGGCGUGCCUAACACAUGCAAGUCGAGCGGAAAGACGAUAAGCUUGCUCCUCUAACGUUGGCGGCGGGCGGGCGAGUAAGACAUGCAUCACCUACCUCUAAGACUGGGAUAAUAACGGGAGACCAGUGCCGCUACCGCCUCAUAUAUCCAACGGGAUGGUUCAAUAGAUAAUGACGGUUUUGCUGACACAUUGAGCUGGAUCCGGGCCGGAUUAGCUAGUUGGUAGGGUAACGGCUUACCAAGGCAACGAUGCGUAGCCGACCUGAGAGGGUGAUCGGCCACACUGGAACUGAGACACGGUCCAGACUCCUACGGGAGGCAGCAGUAGGGAAUCUUGGGCAAUGGGCGAAAGCCUGACGGAGCCACGCCGCGUGAGUGAUGAAGGUCUUCGGGUCGUAAAACUCUGUUAUUAGGGAAGAACAAAUGUGUAAGUAACUAUGCACGUCUUGACGGUACCUAAAGAAAAAGCAACGGCUAACUACGUG
RNAcentral lists this ribosomal RNA (497 nucleotides) under uncultured bacterium. RNAcentral's name for it is "partial 16S ribosomal RNA". It matches the Rfam family "Bacterial small subunit ribosomal RNA", at positions 28 to 507 of the family's 1533-position model. The record is from RNAcentral.